RNAcentral lists this ribosomal RNA (429 nucleotides) under uncultured maize root bacterium Zmrc217. RNAcentral describes it as "bacterial SSU rRNA". It matches the Rfam family "Bacterial small subunit ribosomal RNA", at positions 1028 to 1463 of the family's 1533-position model. The record is from RNAcentral.
CUGGACACAGGUGCUGCAUGGCCGUCGUCAGCUCGUGUCGUGAGAUGUUGGGUUAAGUCCCGCAACGAGCGCAACCCUUGUCAUUAGUUGCUACGAAAGGGCACUCUAAUGAGACUGCCGGUGACAAACCGGAGGAAGGUGGGGAUGACGUCAGGUCAUCAUGGCCCUUAUGGGUAGGGCUACACACGUCAUACAAUGGCCGGGACAGAGGGCUGCCAACCCGCGAGGGGGAGCUAAUCCCAGAAACCCGGUCGUAGUCCGGAUCGCAGUCUGCAACUCGACUGCGUGAAGUCGGAAUCGCUAGUAAUCGCGGAUCAGCUUGCCGCGGUGAAUACGUUCCCGGGUCUUGUACACACCGCCCGUCACACCAUGGGAGCGGGUUCUGCCAGAAGUAGUUAGCCUAACCGCAAGGGGGGCGAUUACCACGGC